Molecule: ribosomal RNA, 780 nt
Filed under: Listeria monocytogenes
Lineage: Bacteria; Bacillati; Bacillota; Bacilli; Caryophanales; Listeriaceae
Description: bacterial SSU rRNA
Rfam family: Bacterial small subunit ribosomal RNA
Source: RNAcentral
UAUUUUAAAGAGAGUUUGAUCCUGGCUCAGGACGAACGCUGGCGGCGUGCCUAAUACAUGCAAGUCGAACGAACGGAGGAAGAGCUUGCUCUUCCAAAGUUAGUGGCGGACGGGUGAGUAACACGUGGGCAACCUGCCUGUAAGUUGGGGAUAACUCCGGGAAACCGGGGCUAAUACCGAAUGAUAAAGUGUGGCGCAUGCCACGCUUUUGAAAGAUGGUUUCGGCUAUCGCUUACAGAUGGGCCCGCGGUGCAUUAGCUAGUUGGUAGGGUAAUGGCCUACCAAGGCAACGAUGCAUAGCCGACCUGAGAGGGUGAUCGGCCACACUGGGACUGAGACACGGCCCAGACUCCUACGGGAGGCAGCAGUAGGGAAUCUUCCGCAAUGGACGAAAGUCUGACGGAGCAACGCCGCGUGUAUGAAGAAGGUUUUCGGAUCGUAAAGUACUGUUGUUAGAGAAGAACAAGGAUAAGAGUAACUGCUUGUCCCUUGACGGUAUCUAACCAGAAAGCCACGGCUAACUACGUGCCAGCAGCCGCGGUAAUACGUAGGUGGCAAGCGUUGUCCGGAUUUAUUGGGCGUAAAGCGCGCGCAGGCGGUCUUUUAAGUCUGAUGUGAAAGCCCCCGGCUUAACCGGGGAGGGUCAUUGGAAACUGGAAGACUGGAGUGCAGAAGAGGAGAGUGGAAUUCCACGUGUAGCGGUGAAAUGCGUAGAUAUGUGGAGGAACACCAGUGGCGAAGGCGACUCUCUGGUCUGUAACUGACGCUGAGGCGCGAAAG